Myotis brandtii (Brandt's bat) is the source of this 76-nucleotide non-coding RNA. The record is from Rfam. Lineage: Eukaryota; Metazoa; Chordata; Mammalia; Chiroptera; Vespertilionidae.
GGCAGUUCUCGGGUGAUGCACCCCAGAAUCGGGCUCCCUCCUCUCUGGUUCCGGGGUGCAUCACCCGAGAACCGCC